GCCCGGUCCCAUUCCGAACCCGGAAGCUAAGCUCCUCAGCGCCGAUGGUACUGCACUGGUGAUGGUGUGGGAGAGUAGGACGCCGCCGGAC
This is a ribosomal RNA of Cryptosporangium aurantiacum, 91 nucleotides long. Lineage: Bacteria; Bacillati; Actinomycetota; Actinomycetes; Cryptosporangiales; Cryptosporangiaceae. The record is from Rfam.